GGUUAACAGCCUCUCUGAUCUAUUACUGCACAGCUCAAUAGGGAAAUUGAGUAGAAAGCCACACUAAUGGCCAAAUUAUCUGUUCAAACUGUAAGAAGACAGAGCUCAGUAUUAAGAAUUCAGUUCUCUACCAUUUCUGUCACGGCUGGCGGAGGGAGCCGUGUGGUGUGGAGGAAAAGGAGGACCCAAGAUGCAGCAAACUGAUGAUACGAGUGAUGUUUUAUUUACAAAGGUGGUGGUGACAAAAACAGGCAACGAGGAGGAGCGUGGAAGGCUUAAGGAGCAGCGAGCACCGGGAGUGCAGACACGGGAGCAGAGAGCACUUGGAGGACACGACACGGGAGUCUGG
Long non-coding RNA from Astatotilapia calliptera (eastern happy), 349 nucleotides. Lineage: Eukaryota; Metazoa; Chordata; Actinopteri; Cichliformes; Cichlidae. The record is from Ensembl.